Molecule: non-coding RNA, 2198 nt
Organism: Ictidomys tridecemlineatus (thirteen-lined ground squirrel)
Lineage: Eukaryota; Metazoa; Chordata; Mammalia; Rodentia; Sciuridae
Source: RefSeq, a predicted model, not a curated record
ACAACCAAUCCGUUAAAAUGAAUCAAAAAUAAUCCCGCCUGGCAAAGAACAAGAAAAGGAGAGGAAGACAGUACUAAAUCACGUUAUCUACCGGCACUACUAACUUCUGCCUCUGACCAAGGCCUCCGCCUGCAACUGCUCCUAGUGACCGGAAUUGUCGGAACUGAUCUCACCGAAUCUUGGGAAGCUGAUUUUGAAAGAGGCCACCUAGAAACUGAGCCGCCGGUCUCGCGCGCCCGCCCCAGCGCAGACUGCUCCUCAGGCGGGCCCGCUACCCACCGGUCCUCCACCCGGUCGCCACCACCACCUGGCACUAGCCCUGUGCCCGCCCGUCCCUCCGGGCCCCGACCUGGUCCGCCCUCCUGGGCUCUCCAGCGCAGAGCCUGCAUCCUCCCGCGCCUGGCCGGAUAGGGAUGGCGCUCCGGGCUGCGGGCCACUAGGCGGCCGCCGCCGCCGCCUCCACGCGCGAGCAGACAAGACUGGGCGCAGGGAAGCCCGGACGCUGGGACGCUGGCCGGUUAUCUGGUCCCGGGUGGGAGGAGGGACCGCCACCGGGGUCCCGCGGACGCCCUGUCACGCCCCCUACGCCGCACACCCGGGCCCCUCCCGCUGGCGGGUCGCAAUGCUCGCUUUCGCCGCGGCCACCCCCUCUUCGCCGGGGCGGACACUGAGCCACCUGGCACAGCCUCCACCGCCACACCACCCACGCAGUACCCCGCGAGCUCCGGCCCUAGACCGCCCUCCAGGGCCGUCCCUGGAGACAAUGGCUCACUCCGUCGCCCUACUGCUCGACCACAGGGUACUCCGCUCUCCCUGGGCAGCGGAUGUCAUAGCUGCCCGUUUCACAGAAGUGUAGACCGAGGCCGAGGAGCUCAAAAGCGAGGGACCAUGCGGAGAAACCCGGCUGCUAAUAGGGUCGAGGAGGGUCCAGGUCGUCCGCGGGCCCGGUGACUCCAGCCCUGGGCUGGUGUGUCCCUCGCUGGCGCAGCGCGGGCAAUGGCACGUAGGUGGAGCUCCAGGAGUUGUUGGAUGAGCCAAGAGGUCGUGAAAAACAGAUUAUCUGCCCCAGUCCCGGAGGCCACAGUGUCCUCAGACUGAGACUCCUAAUCUAGGACUCCCCAUCUCCGGAGCGUCCUCCGGCUUGACCUCAGACUCCCAGAUCCACUGCGCUCCGUCUCCCAAAACGAGCAGGGAAGACGAUGGGAGACCAGAGGAAAUGCACCUUUUGGGAAGAGCCAGGCAUCGUUUGCUGAAUAUUCGAGUUAAAAAACGCCGGUUUUGUGGCUACAAGCAGAGUUAAGUGGUUGGUGUCAAAAGUUAAGCAAUCAAAUGCUGGGGAAACCAACACGGAAACUACAACUUUCAACUAUAUACUACACAUAUAUACUGGAAAUGAACAAUUAAAUAAAUGAAUAGUGGAUGAUGGCCACCAGGUCUCUUACCUGUUACUGACCAGUAGAAGGAGGCUAGAGUGGUCCAUGUGCUCUUGGAUCAGAGCUGAAGUCAUCAGUGUGAACUCUUAUUUGGCUUAGUAGAGCUACAGAUAUAUAGAUAUAGAUAGAUAGAUAUAGAUAGAUAGAUAUAGAUAUAUAUUAUAGAUAUUAUAGAUAGAUAUAAAUAUGUGUUUACACAGGGUAGUAACACAAUGCAUGUAUCUCCUUGCUCUAUCAGCUAAGUGGGCCUGCAGAGGACAACCAACACAGUUAGCACCCAGAUCUUCUUUUUAGUACCAUUCUUCAACAAAAGGAACCAGUCCUCCUUGGGGGAAAUAGCUGAUUCUAAUCCUGGGACAGGAAAUAUUUAACAAGAACCUGGAGCAUCCUGCCGUGUCAGAAGAGUGAAGAAUCCAUCAGAUGCCCGUGGACUUAGGACCACUGCAGUCAGUAAUGGGACCUUAUGGCAGAGACAGCUGGAAGAGCAAAGCCACGCACCUGGAGGCAAAAUGAAGAAGCCAGUGCUAAGGUGAAGGUGAGACUGUAUUGAACUACAGAGGAGCAGAAGGUCACAUGGCUGGAUUUCCUAAUGUGUAAGUCUAGAAACCACCACAGACAGACCAUUUUCAGAUGAUAUUACCCUGGAAUCCUUUAAUGAAAAUUUCAUGUUAUGCAUACUGCCUUUAUUGGGAUUCAUCUGCAUUUGAAGAUACUGGCCUUAUGUUAUUUAUUUUAAUAAAUAAAACCCGUGUGUUCACUGUUUUA